Molecule: ribosomal RNA, 281 nt
Filed under: Alphaproteobacteria bacterium
Lineage: Bacteria; Pseudomonadati; Pseudomonadota; Alphaproteobacteria
Description: partial 23S ribosomal RNA
Rfam family: Bacterial large subunit ribosomal RNA
Source: RNAcentral
GUCCCUAUCUGCCAUGGGUGUAGGAAACUUGAGAGGAGCUGUCCUUAGUACGAGAGGACCGGGAUGGACACACCUCUGGUGUACCGGUUGUCGCGCCAGCGGCACCGCCGGGUAGCUAUGUGUGGAAGGGAUAACCGCUGAAAGCAUCUAAGCGGGAAACGAACCUCAAUACCAGGACUCCCUAUCAGAGCCGUUAUAGACUAUGACGUUGAUAGGCUGGGUGUGGAAGUGCGGCAACGCAUGAAGCUAACCAGUACUAAUUGCUCGACCGGCUUGAAUUC